UGGGGGAUAUUGCACAAUGGGCGAAAGCCUGAUGCAGCGACGCCGCGUGGGGGAUGAAGGCCUUCGGGUUGUAAACUUCUUUUGCUCUGAACAAGGCAUGCUAAUGGGUGUGUUGAGUGUAGGGGUUGAUUAGCGCCGGCUAACUACGUGCCAGCAGCCGCGGUAAUACGUAGGGCGCGAGCGUUGUCCGGAAUGAUUGGGCGUAAAGGGCUUGUAGGUGGCUGGUUGCGUCUGUCGUGAAAGCUCAUGGCUUAACUGUGGGUUUGCGGUGGGUACGGGCUGGCUGGAGUGCAGUAGGGGAGGCUGGAAUUCCUGGUGUAGCGGUGGAAUGCGCAGAUAUCAGGAGGAAUACCGGUGGCGAAGGCGGGUCUCUGGGCUGUUACUGACACUGAGGAGCGAAAGCAUGGGGAGCGAACAGG
This 419-nucleotide ribosomal RNA is filed under the name bacterium. RNAcentral's name for it is "partial 16S ribosomal RNA". It matches the Rfam family "Bacterial small subunit ribosomal RNA", at positions 355 to 776 of the family's 1533-position model. The record is from RNAcentral.